AGAGGAAAAUUAGAUAGAGGAACACAUGCGAGACAUUAAUACGGCAAGGCUUACCACUGCUUUAGCCCAAGAGGCUUAUAGUGAAGACAUAACUAUAAGCUGGCGCGAUGUUAAGCAAAUAAAACCGAUACGGAAGCGCACGCAGCCGGUAGUAUCCGAAUCAUUAGAAAUUUUAAAAAGGUUACAGAGCGAAGAAUUAGUUAAUGAAAAAGUGGCUUGGGAGCCUCCACCAGCAUGGAAAUAUAUUCUAGAUAGCUUUAAAAGAAAUAACAACGAAAGGAGGAAUAGAUUAGGCAGUGGAUAAUCGAAAAUGAAGACCUUCGAUGAUGUUUGUA
This 335-nucleotide long non-coding RNA is filed under the name Androctonus crassicauda. The record is from RNAcentral. Lineage: Eukaryota; Metazoa; Arthropoda; Arachnida; Scorpiones; Buthidae.